This is an RNA transcript of Nycticebus coucang (slow loris), 2623 nucleotides long. It is a transcript of the gene named myb/SANT-like DNA-binding domain-containing protein 3, with no coding region annotated. Lineage: Eukaryota; Metazoa; Chordata; Mammalia; Primates; Lorisidae. The record is from RefSeq and is a predicted model, not a curated record. The transcript has a single exon.
UGCAUCUCAUUUUACGAGUUGACAGUACAGAAAAAGCUGGGAUUUAAUACAGGUAGGCCACAGCCUCUUUUUCCUCCUUUUAAACUAUUUUUCUCUCUCCUAUCUCUGUCUUUACUAAAGGCAAAUUAUAGUAGAAUUAACUUAUUUGCCAAAAUAAACUGUACUUUCAAUAUACGGGGUCUGAUUAUUUGCAUAAAGUGCAGUAAGAAUAAUUAAUUAUUAGCCAUCUAGGCUCUUCUUUCCUUUAAAAUUGGCUUUGCUGGAACCUUUUAUAAGGAAUCUCAGGCUGGACUUUUUGAAAGCCAUUCAGAGCCCAGGUUUCAUCUGUGCCAUUAAAUAACUGUAUGCAUUGGGUAAAUUUUUCUUCUCUUGAGGUCUCCAAGCAUAUUUUGAUUCCCGAACCUGUCAGCAAGCGACCUUCAUUACUUACUACAGAUAAGGAAAUGUUACUGAUGUGUAUCUGGCCAGUUUUCCAAAGGGCUUUUUUAUUGACCUUAUAAAGUCAACCUGAAUUCCUUAAUGCAGUCUGGACACCUCUGGAAAUGUUACUCCAGCCAAAACCUUGGUAAAAUAACCAGUACCUUCAUUAUGUUCUAUAGAAACAAAACAGAUUCUUAUUGAACUUAUGCAAAUUACUGGUAUUGUCAGAAAUUAAGAAUGCUUACAAAUGGCUUUCAAAUUCUAGAAAAAUCAAGGAGAGAAAAAUACAUGUUUCAAACUCUGCUCAUAAGUACAUACAUUUCUUGAAAAGUUACAAAUAGCUUGAGAGACAUAAAAUUAUUUUCUUGACUUCUGGAAAACAGAACACAGACAGAAUCAACAAUAUUUCGAACAAAAAGCCAUUACAAACUAGUCCAGUUCCACGUAACUGAUUUCUGUUUUUUUAUGAAGUUAAGUUAGUAGUACUUAUAGACAUGUUAUCUUUUUAAUGAAAGUUCUAAAAAUCUGCUUUUAGUCCGAAGGUAUUCAAUUUUUAAAAACAUCAGUAAUUUGGUGCGUGGGCCGCGCGGGCUGGCCAUGGCGGGCGGUCACCGGCGUGCCCAGCGGUGGGACUUGGGAUAGCUGACGGCCAGGAGAAAUAGAGUGGAAAAUGCAAAACAACGAAAUUAUAAAACCUGCCAAAUACUUCUCAGAAUUGGAAAAGAGCAUUUUGCUUGCUUUAGUAGAAAAGUACAAAUAUGUGCUGGAGUGUAGGAAAAGUGAUGCUCGAACUAUUGCCCCCAAGCAACGUACCUGGCAAGCGCUUGCCCACGAGUACAACUCCCAGCCAAGCGUGUCACUGUGGGAUUUCAAACAGCUGAAGAAGUGUUGGGAGAACAUCAAGGCUUGGACCAAAAAAAUUAUGGCCCAUGAAAGGAGAGAGAAAGUAAAACGUAGUGUCAGCCCACUUCUGAGCACCCAAGUCUUAGGAAAGGAGAAGAUUGCCAGCAUGCUGCCGGAGCAGCUCUACUUCCUGCAGUCCUCCUGAGGAGGAGCCGAAGUACCACCCUGACACUGCGGCCCAAGAAUCAUUUGCUGUUUCAAAUAGAGAACUGUGCGAUGAUGAGAAAGAGUUCAUUCAUUUUCCAGUGUGAGGGGACCUCUCAACCUGAACCCUCGUGUUCAGCUGUCAGAAUAACAGCCAAUAAAAACUACAGGAGCAAAACUUCUCAGGAAGGUGCUUUAAAAAAGAUGCAUGAGGAAGAACACCAUCAACAAAUGUCCAUCUUACAACUGCAGCAGAUACAAAUGAAUGAAGUGCAUGUGGCCAAAAUCCAGCAGAUAGAGCGAGAGUGUGAGAUGGCAGAGGAGGAACACAGGAUAAAAAUGGAAGUUCUCAAUAAAAAGAUGAUGUACUGGGAAAGAAAACUACAAACUUUUACCAAGGAAUGGCCUGCCCUUUCCCAAUUCACCGUAAGACUUUGGGGGUGGCUCUCUUGUAAUUAAUCUGUGUUGGCAAAGAAAGUCUGGAACAUGAACUUGUGGUCUGUAACCUGUAACAGCUACAACUAGGAAAAUUAGAGUGGUAAUAGUCACUUAUCUAAGAAUACAUUCAGGUAAACAGCUGCACCCUAUUUACCCCUUAAGUGGCAAAGAAGCUGUUAUAGUCUUCUGAAAAUUAUCACUAUGAGUGCGAUAAUUCUGAAUGUAAUGUCUCUUAAUUAGAAUUCAUACAAGAACCAUGUGUGAGUGUUGUUGUAUUUUUUUUAAUCAAAUGCAAGUGUGACUAUAAAGGAGCGUAGCUGAUGUUUUUUUUUUUUUUUAAACAGCAGAACUUUUCUAUCCAAAUGAAUGCCCUUCCAUCAAAAUCAGCUGUCCUGGGAGGCUACAUGUCUCCAGUGAUGAUGCUGUUGCUCAGAACUUGCUAGAGGUCUUUAGGGAACCCCCUUGAGAGCUACAGCACCUUUUUUACUGUUUGGGUGCCAUCCUCUGAGUGUGCAUUUUCUGUUUUUCAACAGCCCAACAUUUAGAAGGGUAUUUUCUAAUGUGAAUCAUAAACUGCCUUUUCAGGCCUUUCCCCAAAGAGGAGUUCUAAAUAAUGUCUCCAACCAUGAAGCUUUGCUGGAACUAGGGUGUGACUAACUACUUUGAAGGAGAAAUGUUUGUUUAGAUUUCUACAUUCUGUUAUGUUUGCUUUAUUAAA